UGGCAGCAGCACCUUGUGAGUCAGUGUUGAAUUAAAGUUGUCAAAUGUGACGUUGACACAUUGUUUACUGUCACUGUUUUGGUGGCAUGGCAAUGGAGUGGUUCGCCCACACAUGAAUGCAUUACAGUAAAAGCAAUAAAGCUAAUGUGGUGGAUUUUAACAACAGCACUACUUAUAGCAGAGGCCACGCUGUGACCGGUCCAAGCGUUAGCCUUUGGGCUUCAGCUUGACAGCAGGCUGCUGCUGAUGGAGGCCGAGAUCUUUGGAAAUGAAAAGUGCAUUUAUAGCUCCCCUUAUGAAGCCACAUUCUUGACUAAUCCAGAGGAUAGCUGUGUAGCACGGCUCCUCUGAGCUCAUAGGCACAGCAGAAAACAAAGAGAAGGAGCGCCAUGCCACUGGGCCUGAACCUGAGAGUCAUUCUUAAGCCUCGUGUUUAUACAAAUACAUGUAGCUGGGGUGAGAUUGUGCCGCCCAGACAACAAGAGGUAAUCCAGCAUUUACAAAGCAGGCAGUGAGUGUUUCACGUCACUGUGGAGGAAUGUUGGCCCACUCAUAUUUGUUUUCAUUCAGAAACACUGGACGGUUGACUCCGCCUCAGUCACUUUGCAUCACAGUUCAAAGAAUCUUAUGUGAUACUGAGCUUUAGUAAAGUCUGCUA
Molecule: long non-coding RNA, 658 nt
Organism: Oreochromis niloticus (Nile tilapia)
Lineage: Eukaryota; Metazoa; Chordata; Actinopteri; Cichliformes; Cichlidae
Exons: 3
Source: RefSeq, a predicted model, not a curated record